Molecule: long non-coding RNA, 747 nt
Organism: Salvia miltiorrhiza (redroot sage)
Lineage: Eukaryota; Viridiplantae; Streptophyta; Magnoliopsida; Lamiales; Lamiaceae
Exons: 4
Source: RefSeq, a predicted model, not a curated record
UUAAAUUCUCAAACCUCUAAAAUCCAAACCCUAACUCUCUUUCUCUCGUUCAAUUCUCCCGCCCACAGGCCGCCGCCUCGCCUCCCAUCAGUCUGACGCGCCUCCGGCAGUCUCUCCCGGUCCAACGCACCACCGGUCUCCGACCGCCCCGCCUCGGUCUGACUCGAAGCCUCCGUGGCAAGCCAAAAGUAUGCUAUGCCCCGUCGCGCCUCAGUGUGCGACAGCACGGUCCAUCCUUUCCCGUCGUCCCGCCUCACCUCCUCCGGCCUCAGCGGCUCCGUUGGUCCGUCCGGCGACUCCAAAACACCAGCAGUUGCCAACACGGCGAGCCUGUAGGAACUUGGGGUUGAAUAUAACUCAUUAAGAUGCAUUUGACCGAAUGUUUUGAUGGUUUUGGAAGAAUCGACAUUCUGCCUGUAAUCUGAUGCCCAAAGGAAGAUGAAGAUCGUUGGGUUCGAUGAUGAAGUAACCUACUAUCUCUAUGAAAUGCCAGGAGCAGCUACCUCAGAUGUUUUCCAUCUCCGGUAAUAUAUAAAUUAUCAUGGCAUCCUUCAAUCUUGAUUCAAGCUAUAGCUCCAAAUGAAACUUUAAAGAAAUUGGCUUCUGUUUGCUCAAAUUUCAAGCUCCUUAGUAAAGUUCUUUUUUCCAUUUCAACUACUGUAGCAAAGUUCUUGUGUAUUUGCACCAUACUAUACUAGAUUCAUUGACCGCCAGCUAAUGUUCUUUCUUUUGCUGUAUUUAUGUCGA